RNAcentral lists this ribosomal RNA (432 nucleotides) under uncultured bacterium. RNAcentral's name for it is "partial 16S ribosomal RNA". It matches the Rfam family "Bacterial small subunit ribosomal RNA", at positions 29 to 506 of the family's 1533-position model. The record is from RNAcentral.
AGCGAACGCUGGCGGCAGGCCUAACACAUGCAAGUCGAACGAACUCUUCGGAGUUAGUGGCGGACGGGUGAGUAACACGUGGGAACGUGCCUUUAGGUUCGGAAUAACUCAGGGAAACUUGUGCUAAUACCGAAUGUGCCCUUCGGGGGAAAGAUUUAUCGCCUUUAGAGCGGCCCGCGUCUGAUUAGCUAGUUGGUGAGGUAAAGGCUCACCAAGGCGACGAUCAGUAGCUGGUCUGAGAGGAUGAUCAGCCACAUUGGGACUGAGACACGGCCCAAACCCCUACGGGGGGCAGGAGGGGGGAAUCUUGGGCAAGGGGCGAAAGCCUGACGCAGCCAGGCCGGGGGAAUGAUGAAGGUCUUAGGAUUGUAAAAUUCUUUCACCGGGGACGAUAAGGCCGGUACCCGGAAAAGAAGCCCCGGCAAAUUUCGU